CCUACGGGUGGCUGCAGUGGGGAAUAUUGCACAAUGGGGGAAACCCUGAUGCAGCGACGCCGCGUGAGUGAAGAAGUAUUUCGGUACGUAAAGCUCUAUCUGCAGGGAAGAAAAAAAGUCCUUUGGACUUUGGACGGUACCUGACCAAGAAGCACCGGCUAACUACGUGCCACCAGCCGCGGCAAUACGUAGGGGGCAAGGGUUAUCCGGAUUUACUGGGUGGUAAGGGAGCGUAGACGGCAGCGCAAGUCUGGAGGGACAUGCCGGGUCCCAACCCCGGAACUGCGUUGGAAACUGGGCAGCUGGAGUGCAGGAGAGGUAAGCGGAAUGCCUAGUGUAGCGGUGAAAUGCGUAGAUAUUAGGAGGAACACCAGUGGCGAAGGCGGCUUACUGGACUGUAACUGACGUUGAGGCUCGAAAGCGUGGGGAGCAAACAGGAUUAGAUACCCCUGUAGUC
Molecule: ribosomal RNA, 457 nt
Filed under: uncultured bacterium
Lineage: Bacteria
Description: partial 16S ribosomal RNA
Rfam family: Bacterial small subunit ribosomal RNA
Source: RNAcentral